GGGGAAUAUUGGACAAUGGGCGCAAGCCUGAUCCAGCAACGCCGCGUGGAGGAUGAAGGUCUUCGGGUUGUAAACUCCUGUUGACCGGGACGAACCCCUCCGGGGCCAAUACCCCUGGAGACUGACGGUACCGGUUGAGGAAGCCCCGGCUAACUCUGUGCCAGCAGCCGCGGUAAUACAGAGGGGGCGAGCGUUGUUCGGAUUUACUGGGCGUAAAGCGCGUGUAGGCGGGCUGGAAAGUUGGGGGUGAAAUCCCGAGGCUCAACCUCGGAACUGCCUCCAAAACUUCCAGCCUGGACCCAAAGAGAGGCAAGUGGAAUUGCGAGUGUAGAGGUGAAAUUCGUAGAUAUUCGCAGGAACACCAGUGGCGAAGGCGACUUGCUGGCUUUGUGGUGACGCUGAGACGCGAAAGCGUGGGGAGCAA
Molecule: ribosomal RNA, 424 nt
Filed under: uncultured bacterium
Lineage: Bacteria
Description: bacterial SSU rRNA
Rfam family: Bacterial small subunit ribosomal RNA
Source: RNAcentral